This 594-nucleotide long non-coding RNA is filed under the name Physcomitrium patens. Its description in RNAcentral is "long non-coding RNA (PPAT_LNC006817)". Lineage: Eukaryota; Viridiplantae; Streptophyta; Bryopsida; Funariales; Funariaceae. The record is from RNAcentral.
AGGAUUUGGAUUAUGGUUUGGAUUAGGAUUUGGUUAGAGUUUGAUUUAAGGUUUGGUUUAGGAUUUAGAAUUUGGAUUAGAAUUUAUGAUUGGAUUAGGAUUUGGAUUAGGGUUUGGAUUAGGGUUUAGGAUUUGGUUAGGGUUUGAUUUAGGAUUUGGAUUAGGAUUUGGUUAGGAUUUGAUUUAAGGUUUGAUUUAGGGUUUAGGAUUGGAUUAGGGUUUGGUUUAGGGUUUGAUUUAGGGUUUGGUUUAGGGUUUAGGGUUUGGAAUAGGGUUUAAUUUAAGAUUUGUUUAGGAUUUGACUUAGGGUUUAGGAAUUAUUAGGGUUUAAUAUUUAAUUAGGUUUGGUCUAAAGUUGAGUGAAAUUCAAUAGGAUUUUAACUAGAAUUAAAUUAAGGUUGAAUUGACAUAUAUUUGAGUAAAAUUUGUGAUCAUUCUAAUAUUUCUUUAAGAAUUUUAUUGUUUGUUUGAAAUUUCUUUGAGUUGUUUUGAAUUGGAUUACGUUUGUUUACCAUUAUUAUAGUCUAAUUAGAGAAUUGUUAGUAUUCUAUUUAGGAUUUUGUUAUCGCAAUUUCUAUUCUUCCUUCUACAGCC